Acipenser ruthenus (sterlet) is the source of this 100-nucleotide small nucleolar RNA. RefSeq annotates it as small nucleolar RNA SNORA70. The transcript has a single exon. NCBI's taxonomy places the organism in Eukaryota, Metazoa, Chordata, Actinopteri, Acipenseriformes, Acipenseridae. The record is from RefSeq and is a predicted model, not a curated record.
AUGCAGAAUCCACAAACCGUACAAUGGCUGCAGACGGUAACCUCUCUGGCUGUUCCCAGCUGUACCAUGCUGGGAGCUCUAAGGGACCAUUGAGACAUUU